UAGACUGAGGAUCUGGUGAUGCU
RNAcentral lists this non-coding RNA (23 nucleotides) under Cricetulus griseus (Chinese hamster). The record is from RNAcentral. Lineage: Eukaryota; Metazoa; Chordata; Mammalia; Rodentia; Cricetidae.